This 472-nucleotide ribosomal RNA is filed under the name uncultured bacterium. RNAcentral describes it as "bacterial SSU rRNA". It matches the Rfam family "Bacterial small subunit ribosomal RNA", at positions 335 to 800 of the family's 1533-position model. The record is from RNAcentral.
ACUCCUACGGGAGGCAGCAGUGGGGAAUAUUGCACAAUGGGCGCAAGCCUGAUGCAGCCAUGCCGCGUGUAUGAAGAAGGCCUUCGGGUUGUAAAGUACUUUCAGCAGUGAGGAAGGUGGGUAUGUUAAUAGCAUACUCAUUUGACGUUAGCUGCAGAAGAAGCACCGGCUAACUCCGUGCCAGCAGCCGCGGUAAUACGGAGGGUGCGAGCGUUAAUCGGAAUUACUGGGCGUAAAGCGCAUGCAGGUGGUUUGUUAAGUCAGAUGUGAAAGCCCGGGGCUCAACCUCGGAAUUGCAUUUGAAACUGGCAAACUAGAGUACUGUAGAGGGGGGUAGAAUUUCAGGUGUAGCGGUGAAAUGCGUAGAGAUCUGAAGGAUACCGGUGGCGAAGGCGGCCCCCUGGACAGAUACUGACACUCAGAUGCGAAAGCGUGGGGAGCAAACAGGAUUAGAUACCCUCGUAGGCUCUGC